This is a long non-coding RNA of Mauremys reevesii (Reeves's turtle), 939 nucleotides long. RefSeq lists it as uncharacterized. The record is from RefSeq and is a predicted model, not a curated record. NCBI's taxonomy places the organism in Eukaryota, Metazoa, Chordata, Testudines, Geoemydidae. The transcript is spliced from 3 exons.
GAAAGAGAUGGCUUUUCCCUGCUUGGGCCAGGACCUGUGAGCUCCCUAGGACUACAGGGAUGAAAACUAACUUCAGACAGGGCUAUGCAUCUGGUUCUGCAGGGACGCAAGAAAGCCUGAGAGAGAGUGUGUGUUUUGCAAGAUUGUGUCUUCUCAUAGUAUUUCCAUUCCUGGAUAGUGAAACUAUCAUGAAGACCAGCUCUCUCAUUACUUAGGCCCAGAAAUGCCUCCUUCAGUGCCUAGUACAUGGAUGCUGCCUGAAAUAAUGUAUGGAGCAUCAAGAGAAACAGAAAGUGAAAAUGACUAGUCUCUUUCCAGUCUAAGGGUCUGAUCCUCCAAAUACUGAGCAGCAGCAGCAUUAUCUUUCCCCAGCAGUCAAUGUUGGUUUCCCGAGUCCAGAAACAGCUCUCCUUUGAAUGAAUCUUCUCUAGGACAAGUUUUUUUUUCCCCACAAUUAGCUGCUCCAAUUUCUGUCUCCGCUGUUGAAAUCAGCUCAGCAGCGCAGUGGCUGGCUUCCAAAGCCAUCAAGGUGCAUGAUCGCUAAUGCAUGUGUAGCAACCUCUGUAUAUUAAUGAGUGUCUGGACCAUGGCACUCAGCUGUGUUCCUUCUGUGCUGGCUGACAGUUUGAAAAUGGCCCUGAUUCACAAAAGGUGGAUAAAUCAUGGGAUGCCAGCGGAGGAUUCAUAGAAAUUUGCUACUGUGACCACAAGUCCCUGAAUUCGCAGGGCUUCUGGUAGCUGUCCCACAAUGCACAGUGAGAAAAAUCCCAACAUGCAUAGAGCUCACCAGCAGGACAAAAUGCCAGUGGAGACCUAGUCAGAAUUCUGAGCACUUAUUUUGGAAAAAAGUCAGUACCAUGUGUAUAUACUGAUUCGGAGGGAAGUAGGUAACAGCCAGACAUGUGGAUGAAAUUAUUUCAGAAUAACUAUUGCAAAACU